Molecule: non-coding RNA, 518 nt
Organism: Cinara cedri
Lineage: Eukaryota; Metazoa; Arthropoda; Insecta; Hemiptera; Aphididae
Source: the annotation of a GenBank genome assembly
AAAUACUAUAAUAGUGACGAAAACGUGUUUUGGUACGUGCAUAGAUAAGAUAUCUAGAUACCCAAUGCAAUACUCGUUUUUUUCACUACCUAUCUAGGGCGCCCUCUAGGCGAGCAGUCUCGUUGUUUAAUAGCCACACCUCGUAUAAGUUGAAAUAACACCAGACAUAAAGGUUUUAAGUUUUUGUUAAUCAAAGCGGUGGUAAUCAAGAGUAAAAAUUGUUUGCCCCCUCUCUAUGAAAUUUACCCGGAGACACCCUUGAACAAUACUAUUAACCGAGCUUUACUCAGAAUCGUUUUUUGUUGGCAAUGCUUAAAUUUGCUUAGUUACAGAUAUACAUUAAAUUUCCCUCAAUAUCCUACGUUCCCAACUUCUUAUCUGUAACAAUAACGGUGGUCCACCCUUCAUGUGAAGUAAGUCGGUAUUUUUUUUUCUUUAUCAAUUAUUAAUAUUAAAUUUAAUUAAUUUGUCCCUCCUCCCCAUAGUCAAGGUCUGGAGAUAUCCUGCAAUUGUAACCU